GCGUGUUGGAGUCAUUCAUUCAAGCAAUGCAAUAUUCCUUUCAUCGCUAUCAAGAAACUCUAAUCCUUUUCUUUGCAAUGGAAGAAGUUCUACAUAUCAUCUCUUUCUCUUUCUAUUUCUACACUAACUCAACAAUUCUCCUAUCUCACGAGGUAUAUCUCUCUCUGUGUUAAUGUAAACUUAUCUAUCUUUCUGUGUUAAUGUAUAUAUCUCGCGAAGAAGUUGUACAUCAUGUAUUUCUGUUAAUGUUUCUCUUUCUAUUUGUACAGUAACUCACCAAUUCUCCUAUCUCUCUCUCUGCAUAUUACUUAAAGGAGGUAAUGUAAACCUAUAUAUAUCUUUCCUCAUUUUCACUUCAAAAAUUAUAAAUUUAAUAAAUUCUAUGUUUUAUGAGAUCAAUAUUACUAAAAUAACCUAUUAUCUAUAGUAUAUUUCCCUCCUUUUAUAAUUUACUCUUUCUCAAGCACAUACACACUUACAAAAGGUUUCUAUGAGUGAGUUUUCUCUUUUGUUGUUAAUUUGCAUCAGCUAUUUUUUAGUGAAAUUUAUUAUUAAUAUUGUUCUAUAUUGAGUCAACCGUGUCAAUUUUUAAACUUUCUUUUCCGAAUUUUAUGAAAAAUUAUUAUAUCAGAAACAAGAUCUUUAUUUGACAUUCCAUUAUCCAUUAUCAAAUCACCUCAAGAUGACUAAAAUUGUAUAAGUAAGUUUGCCAUCUUUUGUUUUCUAUAAAUAUCUCAAAACAUUUUUUUUUCUUUUCCCAUGUUCCAUUCCUAGAUUAGUUUGAGUAUAUAUCUGAGCAUAUAUAUAUAUAUUACAUUCAACAACAUCCCCAUAAGAAAAAUGCUUCAAUUUGCUUUUGUUCCAAGUAAUUUUUAGGACAAUGAGCGAGAAUAAAUUUGUCUUAUUUUUAAACAACGAUUUUAUCACUUCUCCAUCUUAAAUUAUGGUUGUUCUUUUUCAUUGUCAUUUGUCACAAUAAUUACGUGACUACUCACUAUGGCUAAAGAUACAAGUAAAAAUAAAACGGAACUUCUUUAAUUUCCAUUUUUCGUGGAAUCAAAUUCCCAUCGAUUUCAUCAUUUUCAAUGAACUUGCAUUUUUAGUUUCAACAAUUCUCCUAUACUAUGAUUAAGACAACAAAACGUAUACCCCUUAGAUUAUUUUCUUUUUGGGUAAUCAAUGAAAGAUCUAUUGAUUAUUCUUACAUCUACUUUCUGUUUUUGCAGAUUUUAAAUCCUAAUUUCUGUUUGACACCCCAAACGUUCGAGUGUCUUAUAUUGGUUGUCCUGUCAAUUCACAAUUAAAGAGGUAUGUUAAAGAAUCACUUUACUAGAAAUCUUGUUUAACAAAUACAUGGUUAUUUUCCAAAGCAUGCAUCUAUGACUAUUUUUCAAAGCUUGCAUCCAUAAAAGCAUGGUUAAAGAAGAAUGACUUAACAUAUACUUAUCAAUUGUGUAGGAGCGCUCUCCCAUAAACUCUUUUACACUUUCAAUAUUGGGAAGAGUCGUCUUAAUAUUAUUUGAGAUGGCCAUCAUCAUGAACAUUAAGUUUUUUUAUCUAUCCAAAGACUUUCUUUUUCAUAGUCGCUAGAGUCAAGUAAUAACAUGAUUUGUUCAUUCCAAUAAGAUAAAUUAUGCUCAUUAAACAUUGACAAAAUGAUACAUGAAAAUUCAUUAGAUUAGAACCAAUACUUAAUAAUGAAAUUUCACGUAAAUAUUGAGUAAUAAAAUACAUAAUUUACUCAUAAAAAUCAAACCACAAUUAACAUAUAUUGCCAUUCUCCUUUAAGUGAUACCUAACAUACCACACACAAACAUUAUGAUGCUAAUUAUAAUAUUAAUGACACUAAAAAUAUGUAUUAGUUAGAAUCAUAUACUAUUUCGGUUUAGGAGUCGAGAUUAAGUCUUCUAAUGCAAAUAAACUCUAAACUCUUAGCUUAGGUCACAAUUUGAGUCUAAUCAGCUUCUAUUUGCACACUCCGAUGUUAAAGUUAGUGUUUGUCUGAAUACUUAAGCAAUAAAUGUGUAGUAAAAAUAACCAACUACCAUAAUAUCAAACAUGUAUUUAUAAACUUUUGGAAUGGACUUUGGAUUAUUGUUGGCCCAAUUGCGGCCAAUACACUAAUUGACCUAACUUAGUGAUUAACAUAAUUAUUCUUAUUUGUUGAUCUUGUUCACGGUUCAACCGAUCGGUUUGCUGAUCAUUUUGUUGUUGGAUUGAAGGCUCUGUUAACCGCUCGAUCAAUGACUGGUCGGACGAUCAUACAGUUGCAGGCCCCUCAAGCCAGAGCAUCUCUAUCAUUUAAGAGGGGUAUAGGGGUUUGUUGUGGUCGGAUAAACAAUUAAGGAUUCUGUAAUGGAGUGAGUUCUGUCAUGUUGCCUAUUUAAGGAUAGUUACUUACGUGGACAGUUACCGUGUGGCGGUAACAAAAAUAUAACUAAUGUGGGGACACAUGUAACUUUGGAAUUCGUGCAUCCAUUUGAAACGAAAGGUUGUGUGUUGUUAAUCGUCAGAUCAAGUUGAUUUUUGAUGGCUGAGAUUCGCCUGUCAAAACUAUUUUAAAUCGAUUUGACAAAAUCUUUAUUCGCC
This 2589-nucleotide long non-coding RNA is filed under the name Vigna radiata. Its description in RNAcentral is "long non-coding RNA (VRAD_LNC011910)". The record is from RNAcentral. Lineage: Eukaryota; Viridiplantae; Streptophyta; Magnoliopsida; Fabales; Fabaceae.